GAUAUACUGGUCAGAAAUCGCCCUAGACUUACGGUUUGACAAUUGCACCUGCUCCCAGUUACCUUGGUUGUAAUAGUUUACAGCCUCACCAGCCCUGGUAAGAGAGGCUCCAUCACUCCCGGCUUCACUUCAUAACAGAACCAGAAAUGGAUGCUGAAUACAAAGAAAUCAACUUCUCAAAGGAGGGGAAGAGCAGUGGGAGGCUGUUAGUUCAUAUUUCAAAGGAGACAGGAAAGAGCCUCGGCAGCAUUUCGCUGAGUGAAGCGAUCGUGUUGCACAGGCGGGCCAAGUACCCACGGCAGCUGGGAGGAGAAAGAAGCCCUGUGCAGCUGGCUUUGCUCACUGUCUGCUGGUCGAAGGGCACCAAAGAAGCUGUGGCACUGCCACUGUGCAGCCGUGCUACGACCUGCUCAAUGAAAUCCUCAGCUGCGAGCAUGAAGCCUGAGUUAGUAUGUAGCCUGCAAAUCGUACCUUUUAGCUGAUAACUGAAGGCUGGACUUACUGCCUCAUUUGUAUUCAUUUGGUAUCAGAUCAAUGACUCAUCAAAGGAAGCUUCUUUGAUAGGCUUGCUGGGUCACAAAUACACGCGGUGCUGAUGAACUCAAAGUGAUGAAAAUCUUUUUGGAUCUCUUGGUUUAUUCUGGACGACUGUGUUGACACUUGGUGUGCUGCGGUGGUGGGUCAAGUGGCAGAUGUCAUACACGUGGAGGCAGCGAGGCUGAGCUGUGCUGUGGCUACUGCAUCCUUCACUACCACACCCUCCCAGCAAACACAAGCCAGCUUUCCUUAAGAUCGUUUUGGUGAAGAAGUAGAAACCAUUACUUUUAUGAAACAUCUUUUGAAUACUCUAUGUGACAAAACAGGAAGGAAGUACACAUCAGUCCCUUCCACUGCAUGUUCAGCUACCAGAGGUGUCUCCAACAUAGCACAUGUACAGUUGUUUGAGGUGCUAGCUAUAUUAGUUGCUUUUUCACACAACACCAUUGUUACUUGAAAGAAUGACUGGAAAACUAUGGUUAUUCUGACUCAGGUAUUUAGUGGACUUUUUCUUAAAAAACCAAUGAAGUGAGCCUGUCACUUCAAGGGAAGAAAUAACUUAUUGUAUUUAUUGCCAAUGGUAAAAUUUGGGCAUUCUAGUAAAACAUAGACUUUUGUAAGACUUGUAUCUAGCACUGUGAGCUUGAUAGAUUACUAAAACGUACAGGCUUUUCAGCUCAAAUCAGUGGUGAUAUUAGCGAAUGUUUUGUGAAAAAUUUUGCAUAACGAAAUGUGUCACAUUUAGAAAAUCUCUGUGCUUCAUUGAACUAAUUUUUCCAAAUGACCAGUGUAUAAUGUCACAAAAUCAUGCAAGAUAGACCAGUGGAUUUUUGUCAAAGAGUUAAAAAGUUCACUGAUAGGGUUUCAGAUUCCAUUUUGUAACUAAUCUUUAAAAGAUUGCCACUUGUCAGGUUUCAAUGUAGUAUCAAAGAAGAAUAUUCACAAUUAUUUGAAAAGGCAAUUAAAAUAUACCCCUUCUCAAAUACAUAUCUGUGUGAGGUUGGGUUUUCUUUAAAUACCUAAAGCAAAACAAUGUAUUACAACAGAUUAAAUGCAAUACAGAUAUGAGAAUCCAACUGCCUUCCAUCAAGCCAGACAGUAAAGAGGUUUACAAAAAUAUAAAA
Microcebus murinus (gray mouse lemur) is the source of this 1661-nucleotide non-coding RNA. Lineage: Eukaryota; Metazoa; Chordata; Mammalia; Primates; Cheirogaleidae. The record is from RefSeq and is a predicted model, not a curated record.